Molecule: ribosomal RNA, 209 nt
Filed under: uncultured bacterium
Lineage: Bacteria
Description: partial 16S ribosomal RNA
Rfam family: Bacterial small subunit ribosomal RNA
Source: RNAcentral
UUCGGAUUGUAGUCUGCAACCCGACUACAUGAAGCUGGAAUCGCUAGUAAUCNCGGAUCAGAAUGCCGCGGUGAAUACGUUCCCGGGUCUUGUACAUACCGCCCGUCACACCAUGGGAGUCGGAAAUGCCCGAAGUCUGUGACCUAACCGAGAGGGAGGAGCAGCCGAAGGCGGGACCGAUAACUGGGGUGAAGUCGUAACAAGGUAGC